GACGAACGCUGGCGGCGUGCUUAACACAUGCAAGUCGAACGGAAAGGCCCUGCUUUUGUGGGGUGCUCGAGUGGCGAACGGGUGAGUAACACGUGAGUAACCUGCCCUUGACUUUGGGAUAACUUCAGGAAACUGGGGCUAAUACCGGAUAGGAGCUCCUGCUGCAUGGUGGGGGUUGGAAAGUUUCGGCGGUUGGGGAUGGACUCGCGGCUUAUCAGCUUGUUGGUGGGGUAGUGGCUUACCAAGGCUUUGACGGGUAGCCGGCCUGAGAGGGUGACCGGCCACAUUGGGACUGAGAUACGGCCCAGACUCCUACGGGAGGCAGCAGUGGGGAAUAUUGCACAAUGGGCGGAAGCCUGAUGCAGCAACGCCGCGUGCGGGAUGACGGCCUUCGGGUUGUAAACCGCUUUCGCCUGUGACGAAGCGUGAGUGACGGUAAUGGGUAAAGAAGCACCGGCUAACUACGUGCCAGCAGCCGCGGUGAUACGUAGGGUGCGAGCGUUGUCCGGAUUUAUUGGGCGUAAAGGGCUCGUAGGUGGUUGAUCGCGUCGGAAGUGUAAUCUUGGGGCUUAACCCUGAGCGUGCUUUCGAUACGGGUUGACUUGAGGAAGGUAGGGGAGAGUGGAAUUCCUGGUGGAGCGGUGGAAUGCGCAGAUAUCAGGAGGAACACCAGUGGCGAAGGCGGUUCUCUGGGCCUUUCCUGACGCUGAGGAGCGAAAGCGUGGGGAGCGAACAGGCUUAGAUACCCUGGUAGUCCACGCUGUAAACGGUGGGUACUAGGUGUGGGGUCCAUUCCACGGGUUCCGUGCCGUAGCUAACGCUUUAAGUACCCCGCCUGGGGAGUACGGCCGCAAGGCUAAAACUCAAAGGAAUUGACGGGGCCCCGCACAAGCGGCGGAGCAUGCGGAUUAAUUCGAUGCAACGCGUAGAACCUUACCUGGGUUUGACAUGGAUCGGGAGUGCUCAGAGAUGGGUGUGCCUCUUUUGGGGUCGGUUCACAGGUGGUGCAUGCCUGUCGUCAGCUCGUGUCGUGAGAUGUUGGGUUAAGUCCCGCAACGAGCGCAACCCUUGUUCACUGUUGCCAGCACGUUAUGGUGGGGACUCAGUGGAGACCGCCGGGGUCAACUCGGAGGAAGGUGGGGAUGACGUCAAGUCCUCAUGCCCCUUAUGUCCAGGGCUUCACGCAUGCUACAAUGGCUGGUACAGAGAGUGGCGAGCCUGUGAGGGUGAGCGAAUCUCGGAAAGCCGGUCUCAGUUCGGAUUGGGGUCUGCAACUCGACCUCAUGAAGUCGGAGUCGCUAGUAAUCGCAAAUCAGCAACGCUGCGGUGAAUACGUUCCCGGGGC
This 1345-nucleotide ribosomal RNA is filed under the name uncultured bacterium. RNAcentral describes it as "bacterial SSU rRNA". It matches the Rfam family "Bacterial small subunit ribosomal RNA", at positions 28 to 1380 of the family's 1533-position model. The record is from RNAcentral.